Molecule: ribosomal RNA, 373 nt
Filed under: uncultured bacterium
Lineage: Bacteria
Description: bacterial SSU rRNA
Rfam family: Bacterial small subunit ribosomal RNA
Source: RNAcentral
GUAGGGGGCAAGCGUUGUCCGGAAUCAUUGGGCGUAAAGAGCGUGUAGGCGGCUUGGUAAGUCGGCUGUGAAAGUCAGGGGCUCAACCCUUGAAUGCCGGCCGAUACUGUCAAGCUAGAGUCCGGAAGAGGCGAGUGGAAUUCCUGGUGUAGCGGUGAAAUGCGCAGAUAUCAGGAGGAACACCGAUGGCGAAGGCAGCUCGCUGGGACGGUACUGACGCUGAGACGCGAAAGCGUGGGGAGCAAACAGGAUUAGAUACCCUGGUAGUCCACGCCGUAAACGAUGGGCACUAGGUGUGGGAGGUGUCGACUCCUUCCGUGCCGAAGCUAACGCAUUAAGUGCCCCGCCUGGGGAGUACGGCCGCAAGGCUAAA